ACCCGCUUGGAUUAAGCAUAUCAAUAAGCGGAGGAAAAGAAACCCAACAGGGAUUGCCCCAGUAACGGCGAGUGAAGCGGCAACAGCUCAAAUUUGAAAUCUGGCUCUCGGGCCCGAGUUGUAAUUUGUAGAGGAUGCUUUUGGUGAGGUGCCUUCCGAGUUCCCUGGAACGGGACGCCAUAGAGGGUGAGAGCCCCGUCUGGUUGGACACCGAUCCUCUGUAAAGCUCCUUCGACGAGUCGAGUAGUUUGGGAAUGCUGCUCUAAAUGGGAGGUAUAUGUCUUCUAAAGCUAAAUACCGGCCAGAGACCGAUAGCGCACAAGUAGAGUGAUCGAAAGAUGAAAAGAACUUUGAAAAGAGAGUUAAACAGUACGUGAAAUUGUUGAAAGGGAAGCGCUUGUGACCAGACUUGGGCUUGGUUGAUCAUCCGGGGUUCUCCCCGGUGCACUCUUCCGGCCCAGGCCAGCAUCAGUUCGCCCUGGGGGACAAAGGCUUCGGGAAUGUGGCUCUCUCCGGGGAGUGUUAUAGCCCGUUGCGUAAUACCCUGUGGCGGACUGAGGUUCGCGCAUUCGCAAGGAUGCUGGCGUAAUGGUCAUCAGUGACCCGUCUUGAAACACGGACCAAGGAGUCGUCUUCGUAUGCGAGUGUUCGGGUGUCAAACCCCUACGCGAAAUGAAAGUGAACGCAGGUGAGAGCUUCGGCGCAUCAUCGACCGAUCCUGAUGUUAUCGGAUGGAUUUGAGUAAGAGCAUACGGGGCCGGACCCGAAAGAAGGUGAACUAUGCCUGUGUAGGGUGAAGCCAGAGGAAACUCUGGUGGAGGCUCGCAGCGGUUCUGACGUGCAAAUCGAUCGUCAAACAUGGGCAUGGGGCGAAAGACUAAUCGAACCUUCUAGUAGCUGGUUUCCGCCGAAGU
RNAcentral lists this ribosomal RNA (914 nucleotides) under Fusarium solani. RNAcentral's name for it is "LSU rRNA". It matches the Rfam family "Eukaryotic large subunit ribosomal RNA", at positions 23 to 967 of the family's 3401-position model. Lineage: Eukaryota; Fungi; Ascomycota; Sordariomycetes; Hypocreales; Nectriaceae. The record is from RNAcentral.